RNAcentral lists this ribosomal RNA (497 nucleotides) under uncultured bacterium. Its description in RNAcentral is "partial 16S ribosomal RNA". It matches the Rfam family "Bacterial small subunit ribosomal RNA", at positions 28 to 507 of the family's 1533-position model. The record is from RNAcentral.
GAUGAACGCUGGCGGCGUGCCUAAUACAUGCAAGUCGAGCGAACAGACGAGGAGCUUGCUCCUUCGACGUUAGCGGCGGACGGGUGAGUAACACGUAGGUAACCUACCUAUAAGACUGGGAUAACUUCGGGAAACCGGAGCUAAUACCGGAUAAUAUUUCGAACCGCAUGGUUCGAUAGUGAAAGAUGGCUUUGCUAUCACUUAUAGAUGGACCUGCGCCGUAUUAGCUAGUUGGUAAGGUAACGGCUUACCAAGGCAACGAUACGUAGCCGACCUGAGAGGGUGAACGGCCACACUGGAACUGAGACACGGUCCAGACUCCUACGGGAGGCAGCAGUUGGGAAUCUUCCGCAAUGGGCGAAAGCCUGACGGAGCAACGCCGCGUGAGUGAUGAAGGUCUUCGGAUCGUAAAACUCUGUUAUUAGGGAAGAACAAACGUGUAAGUAACUGUGCACGUCUUGACGGUACCUAAUCAGAAAGCCACGGCUAACUACGUG